CCUACGGGUGGCAGCAGUGGGGAAUAUUGGGCAAUGGGCGCAAGCCUGACCCAGCAACGCCGCGUGAAGGAAGAAGGCUUUCGGGUUGUAAACUUCUUUUCUGAGGGACGAAGAAAGUGACGGUACCUCAGGAAUAAGCCACGGCUAACUACGUGCCAGCAGCCGCGGUAAUACGUAGGUGGCAAGCGUUAUCCGGAUGUAUUGGGUGUAAAGGGCGUGUAGGCGGGAAAGGAAGUCAGAUGUGAAAACUCAGGGCUCAACCCUGGUCCUGCAGUUGAAACUGUUUUUCGUGAGUGCUGGAGAGGCAAGCGGAAUUCCGGGUGUAGCGGUGAAAUGCGUAGAUAUACGGAGGAACACCAGUGGCGAAGGCGGAUUGCUGGACAGCAACUGACGCUGAGGCGCGAAAGCGUGGGGAGCAAACAGGAUUAGAUACCCUUGUAGUC
RNAcentral lists this ribosomal RNA (443 nucleotides) under uncultured bacterium. RNAcentral describes it as "partial 16S ribosomal RNA". It matches the Rfam family "Bacterial small subunit ribosomal RNA", at positions 338 to 795 of the family's 1533-position model. The record is from RNAcentral.